This 660-nucleotide ribosomal RNA is filed under the name Lutibacter sp. RNAcentral's name for it is "bacterial SSU rRNA". It matches the Rfam family "Bacterial small subunit ribosomal RNA", at positions 28 to 679 of the family's 1533-position model. The record is from RNAcentral. Lineage: Bacteria; Pseudomonadati; Bacteroidota; Flavobacteriia; Flavobacteriales; Flavobacteriaceae.
GAUGAACGCUAGCGGCAGGCUUAACACAUGCAAGUCGAGGGGUAACAGGGAGAAGCUUGCUUUUCCGCUGACGACCGGCGCACGGGUGCGUAACGCGUAUAGAACCUACCUUUUACAGAGGAAUAGCCCAGAGAAAUUUGGAUUAAUGCCUCAUAGUAUUAUAGAAUGGCAUCAUUUUAUAAUUAAACAUUUAUGGGUAAAAGAUGGCUAUGCGUUCUAUUAGCUAGUUGGUAAGGUAACGGCUUACCAAGGCUACGAUAGAUAGGGGUCCUGAGAGGGAGAUCCCCCACACUGGUACUGAGACACGGACCAGACUCCUACGGGAGGCAGCAGUGAGGAAUAUUGGACAAUGGAGGCAACUCUGAUCCAGCCAUGCCGCGUGCAGGAAGACGGCCCUAUGGGUUGUAAACUGCUUUUAUAUAGGAAGAAACCUUUCCACGUGUGGAAAGCUGACGGUACUAUAAGAAUAAGCACCGGCUAACUCCGUGCCAGCAGCCGCGGUAAUACGGAGGGUGCAAGCGUUAUCCGGAAUCAUUGGGUUUAAAGGGUCCGUAGGCGGACUAAUAAGUCAGGGGUGAAAUCCAACAGCUUAACUGUUGAACUGCCUUUGAUACUGUUAGUCUUGAAUUAUAUGGAAGUAGAUAGAAUGUGUAGUGUAGC